ACAGUGAUGGAAAGAUGAAAAGAACUUUGAAAAGAGAGUGAAAAAGUACGUGAAAUUGUUGAAAGGGAAGGGCUUGAGAUCAGACUUGGUAUUUUGCAUGYUGCUCUCUCGGGGGCGGCCGCUGCGGUUUACCGGGCCAGCAUCGGUUUGGAGCGGCAGGAUAAUGGCGGAGGAAUGUGGCACGGCUUCUGCUGUGUGUUAUAGCCUCUGACGAURCUGCCAGCCUAGACCGAGGACUGCGGUUUUUAACCUAGGAUGUUGGCAUAAUGAUCUUAAGUCG
RNAcentral lists this ribosomal RNA (280 nucleotides) under Candida albicans. RNAcentral describes it as "partial 26S ribosomal RNA". It matches the Rfam family "Eukaryotic large subunit ribosomal RNA", at positions 350 to 647 of the family's 3401-position model. Lineage: Eukaryota; Fungi; Ascomycota; Pichiomycetes; Serinales; Debaryomycetaceae. The record is from RNAcentral.